UACGAAGGGGGCUAGCGUUGUUCGGAUUUACUGGGCGUAAAGCGCGUGUAGGCGGGCUAUUAAGUUGGGGGUGAAAUCCCGGAGCUCAACUCCGGAACUGCCUCCAAAACUGGUAGCCUGGAGCAGAUGAGAGGCGAGUGGAAUUCCGAGUGUAGAGGUGAAAUUCGUAGAUAUUCGGAGGAACACCAGUGGCGAAGGCGACUCGCUGGCAUCUUGCUGACGCUGAGACGCGAAAGCGUGGGGAGCAAACAGG
RNAcentral lists this ribosomal RNA (253 nucleotides) under uncultured bacterium. Its description in RNAcentral is "partial 16S ribosomal RNA". It matches the Rfam family "Bacterial small subunit ribosomal RNA", at positions 524 to 776 of the family's 1533-position model. The record is from RNAcentral.